CCGAGCUCAUGCCCUUACGGGUAGAUCUCCCACCCUAUGUUAUCGUUACCUUUGUUGCUUUGGCGGGCCGUCAGGCUUCGGUCAGGCUAUCGGCUCCGGCUGGUAAGCGCCCGCCAGAGGACCCCAAACUCUGAAUGUUAGUGUCGUCUGAGUACUAUACAAUAGUUA
This 168-nucleotide unclassified non-coding RNA is filed under the name uncultured Helotiales. Its description in RNAcentral is "sequence contains ITS1". Lineage: Eukaryota; Fungi; Ascomycota; Leotiomycetes; Helotiales. The record is from RNAcentral.